UACGUAGGGUGCGAGCGUUGUCCGGAAUUAUUGGGCGUAAAGAGCUCGUAGGCGGUUUGUUGCGUCUAUCGUGAAAACCUGCGGCUUAACUGUGGGCUUGCGGUGGAUACGGGCAGACUUGAGUUCGGUAGGGGAGACUGGAAUUCCUGGUGUAGCGGUGAAAUGCGCAGAUAUCAGGAGGAACACCGGUGGCGAAGGCGGGUCUCUGGGCCGAUACUGACGCUGAGGAGCGAAAGCGUGGGUAGCGAACAGG
This 253-nucleotide ribosomal RNA is filed under the name uncultured bacterium. RNAcentral describes it as "partial 16S ribosomal RNA". It matches the Rfam family "Bacterial small subunit ribosomal RNA", at positions 524 to 776 of the family's 1533-position model. The record is from RNAcentral.